GACAAACGCUGGCGGCGUGCCUAAUACAUGCAAGUCGAGCGGAACUUUGGGAGCUUGCUCCCAUUGUUUAGCGGCGGACGGGUGAGUAACACGUGGGCAACCUGCCCUGCAAAUCGGGAUAACUCCGGGAAACCGGUGCUAAUACCGAAUAGUUUGCGGCCUCUCCUGAGGCUGCGCGGAAAGACGGUUUCGGCUGUCACUGCAGGAUGGGCCCGCGGCGCAUUACCUAGUUGGUGGGGUAAUGGCCUACCAAGGCGACAAUGCGUACCCAACCUGAGAGGGUGAUCGGCCACACUGGGACUGAAACACGGCCCAAACUCCUACGGGAGGCAGCAGUAGGGAAUCUUCCGCAAUGGACAAAAGUCUGACGGAGCAACGCCGCGUGAGUGACGAAGGUUUUCGGAUCGUAAAACUCUGUUGUGAGGGAAAAACAAGUACCAACUAACUACUGGUACCUUGACGGUACCUCACCAAAAAGCCACGGCUAACUACGUG
RNAcentral lists this ribosomal RNA (495 nucleotides) under uncultured bacterium. RNAcentral describes it as "bacterial SSU rRNA". It matches the Rfam family "Bacterial small subunit ribosomal RNA", at positions 28 to 507 of the family's 1533-position model. The record is from RNAcentral.